Molecule: long non-coding RNA, 775 nt
Organism: Phyllostomus discolor (pale spear-nosed bat)
Lineage: Eukaryota; Metazoa; Chordata; Mammalia; Chiroptera; Phyllostomidae
Exons: 2
Source: RefSeq, a predicted model, not a curated record
UAAUUCUCUGAGAAAGAGUUGAAGUGUGUAUUUAUGAAUCUGAGACUACUCACCAAAGCAUUUUAAGCUCUUUAGCAGAGGCGGAAUGAAGUCACAUGGCCUGUUUUCUGGUUAAUAGCUCAUAAUACUCCAGGACUUGGCGUGGGGGCGGGGAGCGGGGCUCACAGCUCCAGAAACUGGCCUUUCGGAGGAGAGAUGCCCUUCUAGGUAAACGCCCACCUUUGUGGGAGGCACUUUGCUCCAGGUGCCGUGCAUGAACCCGGCCCUUGAGGAGCUGACCUUUCCCCUCUCUGGGACUCAAUUUCUCCAUCUGUACAUGCAGGUGCCUGAGUGAGGUCAUCUCCCCAGUCCCAUCCAGCUCUGAGCAUCCUGCAGCACCCGGGGGAUGAUGAAGAUGGAUCAUUAUUUCAGUAUUACCAGAGGGCAACUUUUUCACGGGCAUCUUUUAGAAAGGCCGAAAGACGCUGAGAACGUGACGCGGGCCAGGUGCCUGCAUUCAAAUGCUGCCUCUGCCCUGUCCUGGCUGGGUGACCCGGGCAAGUUCUUAGCCACCCCGUGACCCUUGGUUUCCACAUCUGUGAAGUGAGGAUGCUCAGAGAACGACUGGUCUUAAUUCAGGACACCAAGCACUCAGGAUGGACUCAGCCCAGAGUCAGGGCUCCAUAAAUGUUACCUUUUAUUGUCCUUAUUGCUGUCUGGUUAUUUUUAUUACCUGCUGCUGUACUAGAGUUCGUUAAUGUGACAUGUAUUACAUAAACCCCAAUGGUGGAUAUGA